CUACGGGUUGCAGCAGUCGAGGAAAUUUUACAAUGCUCGAAAGAGUGAUAAAAUGAGCCAAAGUGUUUCUCUUAGAGAAACUUUUAUUUGUUGUAAAAAGACAGAUGAAUAAGGACUGGGUAAGACCGGUGCCAGCCGCCGCGGUAAUACCGGCGGUCCAAGUCGCAUCCACAAUUAUUGGGUCUAAAACAUUCGUAGCUUGUUCUGUAAGUCUCUUGUGAAAUUCUAUAUCUUAAGUAUGGAGCCUGCAAGAGAUACUACAUUACUUGAGACCGGAAGACGCAAAGAGUAUGAUUAAGGUAGCGGUAAAAUGUGUUAAUCUUAAUCAGACUAACAAUAGCGAAGGCACUUUGCGAGUACGGAUCUGACAGUGAGGAAUGAAGGCUAGGGGCGCAAAAGGGAUUAGAUACCCCAGUAGUC
This 420-nucleotide ribosomal RNA is filed under the name uncultured archaeon. RNAcentral describes it as "partial 16S ribosomal RNA". It matches the Rfam family "Archaeal small subunit ribosomal RNA", at positions 323 to 746 of the family's 1478-position model. The record is from RNAcentral.